RNAcentral lists this ribosomal RNA (429 nucleotides) under Bacteroidota bacterium. RNAcentral's name for it is "Bacteroidetes bacterium partial 16S ribosomal RNA". It matches the Rfam family "Bacterial small subunit ribosomal RNA", at positions 355 to 776 of the family's 1533-position model. The record is from RNAcentral. Lineage: Bacteria; Pseudomonadati; Bacteroidota.
UAGGGAAUCUUCGGCAAUGGGGGGAACCCUGACCGAGCAACGCCGCGUGAGUGAAGAAGGUUUUCGGAUCGUAAAGCUCUGUUGUUAAGGAAGAACGAGUGUGAGAAUGGAAAGUUCAUGCUGUGACGGUACUUAACCAGAAAGGGACGGCUAACUACGUGCCAGCAGUCGCGGUAAUACGUAGGUCCCGAGCGUUGUCCGGAUUUAUUGGGCGUAAAGCGAGCGCAGGCGGUUAGAAAAGUCUGAAGUGAAAGGCAGUGGCUCAACCAUUGUAGGCUUUGGAAACUGUUUAACUUGAGUGCAGAAGGGGAGAGUGGAAUUCCAUGUGUAGCGGUGAAAUGCGUAGAUAUAUGGAGGAACACCGGUGGCGAAAGCGGCUCUCUGGUCUGUAACUGACGCUGAGGCUCGAAAGCGUGGGGAGCGAACAGG